RNAcentral lists this ribosomal RNA (440 nucleotides) under uncultured bacterium. Its description in RNAcentral is "partial 16S ribosomal RNA". It matches the Rfam family "Bacterial small subunit ribosomal RNA", at positions 338 to 795 of the family's 1533-position model. The record is from RNAcentral.
CCUACGGGAGGCAGCAGUGGGGAAUAUUGCACAAUGGGGGAAACCCUGAUGCAGCGACGCCGCGUGAGUGAAGAAGUAUUUCGGUAUGUAAAGCUCUAUCAGCAGGGAAGAAAAUGACGGUACCUGACUAAGAAGCCCCGGCUAACUACGUGCCAGCAGCCGCGGUAAUACGUAGGGGGCAAGCGUUAUCCGGAUUUACUGGGUGUAAAGGGAGCGUAGACGGCAGAACAAGUCUGGAGUGAAAUGCCGGGGCUUAACCCCGGAACUGCUUUGGAAACUGCGCAGCUAGAGUGCUGGAGAGGUAAGUGGAAUUCCUAGUGUAGCGGUGAAAUGCGUAGAUAUUAGGAGGAACACCAGUGGCGAAGGCGGCUUACUGGACUGUAACUGACGUUGAGGCUCGAAAGCGUGGGGAGCAAACAGGAUUAGAUACCCGUGUAGUC